RNAcentral lists this ribosomal RNA (507 nucleotides) under uncultured bacterium. RNAcentral describes it as "partial 16S ribosomal RNA". It matches the Rfam family "Bacterial small subunit ribosomal RNA", at positions 28 to 507 of the family's 1533-position model. The record is from RNAcentral.
GACGAACGCUGGCGGCGUGCUUAACACAUGCAAGUCGAACGGGCCUUGUCCCCUUUUUUUUGGGGGUGGGGUUAGUGGCGAACGGGUGAGUAACACGUGAGUAACCUGCCCCUCACUUCUGGAUAACCGCUUGAAAGGGUGGCUAAUACGGGGUGUUCUGGCCUGCUCGCAUGGGUGGGUUUGGAAAGAUUCGACCGGUUUUGGUUGUUUUGGUGGGGGAUGGGCUCGCGGCCUAUCAGCUUGUUGGUGGGGUGAUGGCCUGCCAAGGCUUUGACGGGUAGCCGGCCUGAGAGGGUGGGCGGUCACACUGGGACUGAGACACGGCCCAGACUCCUACGGGAGGCAGCAGUGGGGAAUAUUGCACAAUGGGCGCAAGCCUGAUGCAGCGACGCCGCGUGAGGGAUGGAGGCCUUCGGGUUGUGAACCUCUUUCGCCAGUGAAGAAGGUCCUGCUCUUUGUGGUGGGGUUGACGGUAGCCGGGUUAAUGAAGCGCCGGCUAACUACGUG